AUUUCUAAACUAAUGUAGUUUAAGAAAAACACUACAUUUUCAUUGUAUAAAUAAUUUAAUUCAUAA
This 66-nucleotide transfer RNA is filed under the name Lyropaeus sp. UPOL 000L11. Its description in RNAcentral is "tRNA-Glu". The record is from RNAcentral. Lineage: Eukaryota; Metazoa; Arthropoda; Insecta; Coleoptera; Lycidae.